ACACGACUACAUUAGAUACCCCGGUAGUCCUAGCCGUAAACGAUACUCGCUAGGUGUCGGCCACGGUGCGACCGUUGUCGGUGCCGUAGGGAAGCUGUGAAGCGAGCCACCUGGGAAGUACGGCCGCAAGGCUGAAACUUAAAGGAAUUGGCGGGGGAGCACCACAACGGGUGGAGCUUGCGGUUUAAUUGGAUUCAACGCCGGAAAUCUUACCGGGACCGACAGCAACAUGAAGGCCAGGCUGAAGACUUUGCCGGAUUAGCUG
This 265-nucleotide ribosomal RNA is filed under the name uncultured archaeon. RNAcentral's name for it is "partial 16S ribosomal RNA". It matches the Rfam family "Archaeal small subunit ribosomal RNA", at positions 717 to 982 of the family's 1478-position model. The record is from RNAcentral.